This 1359-nucleotide long non-coding RNA is filed under the name Volvox carteri. RNAcentral's name for it is "long non-coding RNA (VCAR_LNC000927)". Lineage: Eukaryota; Viridiplantae; Chlorophyta; Chlorophyceae; Chlamydomonadales; Volvocaceae. The record is from RNAcentral.
UCUGCAUUGCAAGAGACAAAGGAUAACAGAGGGGGAGAUGAGUAGAGGCCGGGGCUCCUGGCGACUGAGGCUACGAAACGGUGGGAAGCCGCCCCUCCUGGGAUGACGGAGAAAACCGAACAGGCUACUCAGGGGCGACCUGCGCCGCAGGGGACGGGGCCACCAGAGCCAUCAACCUGUUUGAUGCCUCUCUGUCGUUGUUGGGUACAUGCAUGAAGAGGGGAACUCGGACGGAGGAAAGGACAGGUCCAGCCUGAAGCCGGCCACCUGGGCCUGGAAGCCGCCAUGGUCAACAGGACCGAGCCAACACGGCAAUAAGGCCCCAAGGCCAAUCACAGGCGCCACCAAGGGCAAGAGCUCGCGCGCGUUACAAAGAAACCUCCCUCCAGGGUACAACUUGGUCCGACAUCUUCUAGCGGUGGAAGGUCUGGAAGAGACCGGAUGUGCAACUUAGCAUAACAAGUCUUGUCAAAGAUUGGGCCAAAGCAUACUCCGUUCCAACCCAAUAAUGUUUGUCGGACUUGUGGGCCCCUGCAACAACAACGACCGCGAACUGCACGGAGGGGCCACUGAGCGAGCUUAGAAAAAAGGAGGGGNNNNNNNNNNNNNNNNNNNNNNNNNNNNNNNNNNNNNNNNNNNNNNNNNNGAGUGCCACAUCAGAGGGAACCCUUGCAGGACCCAGCUCAGCACGAGCUGGUUCACCACUGUCGCCUUCCAGACCGCGGCACAGGCUCUCAAGCGCCCCCGCAUCUUAGGCCUAUCCUUGCUACNCAUGCUAGGAGGUGUGGCUUCACAAGGCGGAUCAACAGGCAAAGGUGCUGGGUUCUCACCUUCUGGGACCGCUUGUUCACUCCUCGAAGGGGCUCCUGGGUCUGGAUGUGGUUCCUGGGCUUGGCGGGCGACCUUGGUCCGGGGCCGGGUGGGCUCUGCAGGGCCGGGUGCGGGACGCUUGGCGGUGUUCUUGGUCUCCACUUGUGUGUUGUCUCGUUGGGCAGGGGGGGGCUGCGCGGGGCGAGGGGCUCUAAAACCCGCGGCGACGAACAGUGCGCCCAGUACUGUGGCGGCCAAAUUCUCUGCAUUGCAAGAGACAAAGGAUAACAGAGGGGGAGAUGAGUAGAGGCCGGGGCUCAUGGCGACUGAGGCUACGAAACGGUGGGAAGCCGCCCCUCCUGGGAUGACGGAGAAAACCGAACAGGCUACUCAGGGGCGACCUGCGCCGCAGGGGACGGGGCCACCAGAGCCAUCAACCUGUUUGAUGCCUCUCUGUCGUUGUUGGGUACAUGCAUGAAGAGGGGAACUCGGACGGAGGAAAGGACAGGUCCAGCCUGAAGCCGGCCACCUGGGCCUGGAAGCCGCCAU